UGCGACACAGCCCUCAUGUCGACCCCUUUGCUGGGCAGGACUGGCUCCCAGGCAUGGCCUCAGCGAAUUCAUGGUCUCCGACCAGCAUUUCCCCACCAUGCGCUGUGCAGAGAUGGUAGCCCCACUUUCCUGCGGGUAAACUGAGACCCAGAGUGAGUGCCAUGUAACUAAGGAGCGCAGUCGGAACUGGAAACCAAGUGUCCCACACGCACCAGGGAAAAGGGGAAGGCCCAUACAGAGUGCAUUACUGGGCAGGUGACAGAAUGUGCAACUGAAGCUCCGUGUCACUGGGGGCCACCUGGGAAAUCAUGGGGGACAUGCCUCCGACGUCCGUGCCAAUCCACCAGUUCCUGUCCCUGCCGGCUGAAGGUUGCCCUUGGCGGAGAGCCAGUGCUGCUCUGGGAGGAAUCUUGGAGGCAGACAGGAAGACAGAAGAGGCAGGUGCCAAGGGUGGGCCUUGGCUCUCUGGGCCUCGAUUCUUCAGAUCUGGCCAUAAGGAGCUGCCAACGCUCAACCAGUCUGGGCCCACAGAAGGGGACAUUUCUUCUCGCUCGAACUGAACCAUUGGCUGUUCAUCUAAGUACCAACCUUGAUUUUUCUUCUUGGUUUGCAAAAUGUGAAAUAUUUACUACCUGGCCCUUUCCAGAAACCUCCAGACCCUUGCUCUAGAUUAAAAGAAACUAAAGAAGAAGGAAAACAGUGUAAAGAGCAAAACAACUCAAGGCAACGGGGAGCUUUAAUGUGAUCCUUGUUUGGGAGAGAAGACAGACAGAAAAAGACAUUCUUGGAACAAUGGAGGAA
Long non-coding RNA from Mustela lutreola (European mink), 801 nucleotides. RefSeq lists it as uncharacterized. Lineage: Eukaryota; Metazoa; Chordata; Mammalia; Carnivora; Mustelidae. The record is from RefSeq and is a predicted model, not a curated record. The transcript is spliced from 3 exons.